RNAcentral lists this ribosomal RNA (2129 nucleotides) under Gilliamella bombicola. RNAcentral's name for it is "bacterial LSU rRNA". It matches the Rfam family "Bacterial large subunit ribosomal RNA", at positions 1 to 2153 of the family's 2925-position model. The record is from RNAcentral. Lineage: Bacteria; Pseudomonadati; Pseudomonadota; Gammaproteobacteria; Orbales; Orbaceae.
UAAGGUUAAGAAAUUAAGCGUACACGGUGGAUGCCUAGGCAAUCAGAGGCGAAGAAGGACGUGUUAAUCUGCGAAAAGCGACGGUGAGCUGAUAAAAAGCGCAAUAGCCGUCGAUGUCCGAAUGGGGAAACCCAGUGUAGGUGACUACACUAUCAUAUGAUGAAUUCAUAGUCAUAUGAGGCGAACCGGGAGAACUGAAACAUCUAAGUACCCCGAGGAAAAGAAAUCAACCGAGAUUCCCUAAGUAGCGGCGAGCGAAAGGGGAGGAGCCCAAGCGGGUAGCAUAUAGUAUUAGUGGAAGCGUCUGGAAAGUCGCACGAUAGAGGGUGAAAGUCCCGUACACGAAGAUGCGAUAUGUGGAAGCUUAUAGAGUAGGGCGGGACACGUGAUAUCCUGUCUGAAGAAGGGGGGACCAUCCUCCAAGGCUAAAUACUCCUGAUUGACCGAUAGUGAACCAGUACCGUGAGGGAAAGGCGAAAAGAACCCCGGGAGGGGAGUGAAAUAGACCCUGAAACCGUGUACGUACAAUCAGUGGGAGCUGCUGCCGUUGGGUAGUGGUGACUGCGUACCUUUUGUAUAAUGGGUCAGCGACUUAUAUUCUGUAGCGAGGUUAACCGAAUAGGGGAGCCGAAGGGAAACCGAGUAUUAACUGUGCGUUAAGUUGCAGGGUAUAGACCCGAAACCCGGUGAUCUAGCCAUGGGCAGGUUGAAGGUUGGUUAACACUAACUGGAGGACCGAACCGACUAAUGUUGAAAAAUUAGCGGAUGACCUGUGGCUGGGGGUGAAAGGCCAAUCAAACCGGGAGAUAGCUGGUUCUCCCCGAAAGCUAUUUAGGUAGCGCCUCAUGAGUAACUGUUGGGGGUAGAGCACUGUUUCGGCUAGGGGGCCAUCCCGGCUUACCAACCCGAUGCAAACUCCGAAUACUGACAAGUUUAAUCAUGGGAGACACACGGCGGGUGCUAACGUUCGUCGUGAAGAGGGAAACAACCCAGACCGCCAGCUAAGGUCCCAAAGUCAUAGUUAAGUGGGAAACGAAGUGGGAAGGCUUAGACAGCUAGGAUGUUGGCUUAGAAGCAGCCAUCAUUUAAAGAAAGCGUAAUAGCUCACUAGUCGAGUCGGCCUGCGCGGAAGAUGUAACGGGGCUAAAACUAUGCACCGAAGCUGCGGCAGUGCACGCAAGUGUAUUGGGUAGGGGAGCGUUCUGUAAGCCGUAGAAGGUGUGUUGUGAGGCAUGCUGGAGGUAUCAGAAGUGCGAAUGCUGACAUAAGUAACGAUAAAGCGGGUGAAAAGCCCGCUCGCCGGAAGACCAAGGGUUCCUGUCCAACGUUAAUCGGGGCAGGGUGAGUCGACCCCUAAGGAGAGGCCGAAGGGCGUAUCUGAUGGGAAACGGGUUAAUAUUCCCGUACUGGCUAUAACUGCGAUGGGGGGACGAAGAAGGCUAGGUUUACCACCUAUUGGAUGGUGGGUUAAGCAUGUAGGCGUGUGAUUAGGCAAAUCCGGUCACUGAGACGCUGAGGUGUGAUGACGAGCUGCUAAGGCAGUGAAGUAAUUGAUGCCCUGCUUCCAGGAAAAUCCUCUAAGCUUCAGGUUAUAGUUAAUCGUACCCGAAACCGACACAGGUGGUCAGGUAGAGAAUACUCAGGCGCUUGAGAGAACUCGGGUGAAGGAACUAGGCAAAAUGGUGCCGUAACUUCGGGAGAAGGCACGCUGAUGGUAAUUGAAAUCCCGCGCGGACGUAGGUGAAAUCAGUCGAAGAUACCAGCUGGCUGCAACUGUUUAAUAAAAACACAGCACUGUGCAAACACGAAAGUGGACGUAUACGGUGUGACGCCUGCCCGGUGCUGGAAGGUUAAUUGAUGGGGUUAUGCGUAAGCAGAAGCUCUUGAUCGAAGCCCCAGUAAACGGCGGCCGUAACUAUAACGGUCCUAAGGUAGCGAAAUUCCUUGUCGGGUAAGUUCCGACCUGCACGAAUGGCGUAAUGAUGGCCAGGCUGUCUCCACCCGAGACUCAGUGAAAUUGAACUUGCCGUGAAGAUGCGGUGUACCCGUGGCAAGACGGAAAGACCCCGUGAACCUUUACUAUAGCUUGACAGUGAACAUUGAGCCUUAAUGUGUAGGAUAGGUGGGAG